This 393-nucleotide ribosomal RNA is filed under the name uncultured bacterium. RNAcentral describes it as "partial 16S ribosomal RNA". It matches the Rfam family "Bacterial small subunit ribosomal RNA", at positions 523 to 918 of the family's 1533-position model. The record is from RNAcentral.
AUACGGAGGAUGCAAGCGUUAUCCGGAUUUAUUGGGUUUAAAGGGUGCGUAGGCGGUUUGCUAAGCGGGAGGUGAAAUGCCGGCGCUCAACGUCGGAAGUGCCUCCCGAACUGGUGGACUGGAAGGACUCUGCCGGGGGCGGAAUGUGAACUGUAGCGGUGAAAUGCUUAGAGAUUACACAGAACACCGAUUGCGAAGGCAUCUCACGAAGGGUUGAUUGACGCUGAGGCACGAAAGCGUGGGGAUCAAACAGGAUUAGAUACCCUGGUAGUCCACGCAGUAAACGAUGAUGGCUAACCGCUGGUUUUUUCGGAUCAGUGGCCAAGCGAAAGCGAUAAGCCAUCCACCUGGGGAGUACGACCGCAAGGUUGAAACUCAAAGGAAUUGACGGGG